This 255-nucleotide long non-coding RNA is filed under the name Elaeis guineensis (African oil palm). RNAcentral describes it as "long non-coding RNA (EGUI_LNC069361)". Lineage: Eukaryota; Viridiplantae; Streptophyta; Magnoliopsida; Arecales; Arecaceae. The record is from RNAcentral.
UCAUUCAACGCCAAUCUCCUCUUAUUUUGUGUGACAAAAGCCCUCUCCCAGGUCUCUCCCACAUUCACAAAAUGUCUCCUCUCUUCUUUCUUACAAGGAAGGUGGUUUGGAUCAAAUCAAAAAGGAAUAAGUUUGGAUUUCGAAUUCUAUGAGAUAGAGUUUUAGAAAUCCAAAACUCUUUCAAUUUUGCACCGAAUUUAUCCAAAUUUUUUUUGGAAUUUUUGUGGCUUUUAGGGUACAUAUUGUGCAUCCUUU